Molecule: transfer RNA, 70 nt
Filed under: Simenchelys sp. YL-2021
Lineage: Eukaryota; Metazoa; Chordata; Actinopteri; Anguilliformes; Synaphobranchidae
Description: tRNA-Asp
Rfam family: tRNA
About the family: Transfer RNA (tRNA) molecules are approximately 80 nucleotides in length. Their secondary structure includes four short double-helical elements and three loops (D, anti-codon, and T loops).
Source: RNAcentral
AAGAUACUAGUAAUAAAGAUUACACUGCCUUGUCAAGGCAAAGUUGUAGGUUAAACUCCUGCGUAUCUUG